UAGGGAAUCUUCGGCAAUGGACGAAAGUCUGACCGAGCAACGCCGCGUGAGUGAAGAAGGUUUUCGGAUCGUAAAACUCUGUUGUUAGAGAAGAACAAGGACGUUAGUAACUGAACGUCCCCUGACGGUAUCUAACCAGAAAGCCACGGCUAACUACGUGCCAGCAGCCGCGGUAAUACGUAGGUGGCAAGCGUUGUCCGGAUUUAUUGGGCGUAAAGCGAGCGCAGGCGGUUUCUUAAGUCUGAUGUGAAAGCCCCCGGCUCAACCGGGGAGGUCAUUGGAAACUGGGAGACUUGAGUGCAGAAGAGGAGAGUGGAAUUCCAUGUGUAGCGGUGAAAUGCGUAGAUAUAUGGAGGAACACCAGUGGCGAAGGCGGCUCUCUGGUCUGUAACUGACGCUGAGGCUCGAAAGCGUGGGGAGCAAACAGG
RNAcentral lists this ribosomal RNA (428 nucleotides) under Chloroflexota bacterium. RNAcentral describes it as "Chloroflexi bacterium partial 16S ribosomal RNA". It matches the Rfam family "Bacterial small subunit ribosomal RNA", at positions 355 to 776 of the family's 1533-position model. RNAcentral also lists the same sequence under 1 other name. The record is from RNAcentral. Lineage: Bacteria; Bacillati; Chloroflexota.